GUAGGUGGCAAGCGUUGUCCGGAAUUAUUGGGCGUAAAGCGCGCGCAGGCGGUUCUUUAAGUCUGAUGUGAAAGCCCACGGCUCAACCGUGGAGGGUCAUUGGAAACUGGAGAACUUGAGUACAGAAGAGGAAAGCGGAAUUCCACGUGUAGCGGUGAAAUGCGUAGAGAUGUGGAGGAACACCAGUGGCGAAGGCGGCUUUCUGGUCUGUACCUGACGCUGAGGCGCGAAAGCGUGGGGAGCAAACAGGGAUUAGAUACCCUGGUAGUCCACGCCGUAAACGAUGAGUGCUAAGUGUUAGGGGGGUUUCCGCCCCCUUAGUGCUGCAGCUAACGCAUUAAGCACUCCGCCUGGGGAGUACGGCCGCAAGGCUG
This 374-nucleotide ribosomal RNA is filed under the name uncultured organism. Its description in RNAcentral is "partial 16S ribosomal RNA". It matches the Rfam family "Bacterial small subunit ribosomal RNA", at positions 527 to 896 of the family's 1533-position model. The record is from RNAcentral.